Molecule: ribosomal RNA, 492 nt
Filed under: uncultured bacterium
Lineage: Bacteria
Description: partial 16S ribosomal RNA
Rfam family: Bacterial small subunit ribosomal RNA
Source: RNAcentral
AGUGAACGCUGGCGGUAGGCCUAACACAUGCAAGUCGAACGGCAGCACAGUAAGAGCUUGCUCUUACGGGUGGCGAGUGGCGGACGGGUGAGGAAUACAUCGGAAUCUACUUUUUCGUGGGGGAUAACGUAGGGAAACUUACGCUAAUACCGCAUACGACCUACGGGUGAAAGCAGGGGAUCUUCGGACCUUGCGCGAUUGAAUGGGCCGAUGUCGGAUUAGCUAGUUGGCGGGGUAAAGGCCCACCAAGGCGACGAUCCGUAGCUGGUCUGAGAGGAUGAUCCGCCACACUGGAACUGAGACACGGUCCAGACUCCUACGGGAGGCAGCAGUGGGGAAUAUUGGACAAUGGGCGCAAGCCUGAUCCAGCCAUACCGCGUGGGUGAAGAAGGCCUUCGGGUUGUAAAGCCCUUUUGUUGGGAAAGAAAAGCAGCAGGUUAAUACCCCGCUGUUCUGACGGUACCCAAAGAAUAAGCACCGGCUAACUUCGUG